GAUGAACGCUGGCGGCGUGCUUAACACAUGCAAGUCGAACGAGAAGUGAAGACGGAAACCUUCUGGCGGAAGGCUUUAUUUCGAGUGGCGGGCGGGUGAGUAACGCGUGGGUAACCUGCCUCAUACAGGGGGAUAACAGUUGGAAACGACUGUUAAUACCGCAUAAGACCAAACCACCGCAUGUUGCGGGGUUCAAAACUCCGGUGGUCUGAGAUGGACCCGCGUUGGAUUCGCCAGUUGGCGCGGUAACGCCACACCAAAGCGACGAUCGAUAGCCGAUCUGAGAGAAUGGCCGGCCACAUUGGGACUGAGACACGGCCCAAACUCCUACGGGAGGCAGCAGUGGGGAAUAUUGCCCAAUGGGGGAAAUCCUGAUGCAGCGACGCCGCGUGAGUGAAGAAGUAUUGCGGGAUGUAAAGCUCUAUCAGCAGGGAAGAAAAUGACGGUACCUGAGUAAGAAGCCCCGGCUAACUACGUG
This 478-nucleotide ribosomal RNA is filed under the name uncultured bacterium. Its description in RNAcentral is "partial 16S ribosomal RNA". It matches the Rfam family "Bacterial small subunit ribosomal RNA", at positions 28 to 507 of the family's 1533-position model. The record is from RNAcentral.